AAACUCUUGUUGGAGAAGCAGGGCACGUGCAAAUCUUUUGGCUUGGUUUUCUCACAUGCCCUUUUGCACGUGCUCCCCUUCUCCAACAUGGGUUA
RNAcentral lists this microRNA precursor (95 nucleotides) under Lupinus angustifolius (narrow-leaved blue lupine). RNAcentral describes it as "pre miRNA MIR164". It matches the Rfam family "MIR164 microRNA precursor family". The record is from RNAcentral. Lineage: Eukaryota; Viridiplantae; Streptophyta; Magnoliopsida; Fabales; Fabaceae.